AAAAAGAAAAUUAAAAAGAAUAAAAAAAAUAGCGACGCCGACGACCCAACCAAAUACAGCAGAAACUCAGCUCAUUAUUUGUUCGACUUUUCUUUGCUGUCUCUAGAAGACCAAAAUUCCACCCACCAAUUUUUCUCUCUGUUUCAGCAUCUGAAUUUUUUGAUUGAGAGGAAGGUAGAAUGUCUGGCGGAGGCACACAAAAUAGCUUGAGGAAAGCACUCGGAGCCAUCAAAGAUACCACCACCGUUUCGUUGGCUAAAGUCAAUAGUGAUUAUAAGGAAUUGGAUAUUGCUAUAGUAAAGGCCACAAAUCAUUAUGAACGCCCAGCAAG
Molecule: long non-coding RNA, 331 nt
Organism: Gossypium arboreum
Lineage: Eukaryota; Viridiplantae; Streptophyta; Magnoliopsida; Malvales; Malvaceae
Exons: 3
Source: RefSeq, a predicted model, not a curated record